GGCUAGCACUCAGAGAGAGAGAAAAUUGCUUUCUGAGAAACUUAUGUUUUGACUUCUGUGAAAUUGGUGUUCUGUUGAGUGUAGAAAACUCUCAGUGUGUUUUGGGGCUCAGACCUCACCUCUGACUUGUGCUUGGUUUAUUGGGCCUAGUUAUUUGUGCCUCAGACUGACCAAUUUGCCUCCUGUGCAAUGGGUGUUUUGUGACUGGCCACAGCCACAAAGGCAGCCAUUUUGUGAAUGGGUGUCUCCCCUCACAGCAGCCAUUUUGUGAUGGCGCCCACAAAACUUCCUCAAAAUUCCAAAUGUGCCUAUCAGUUCUAAAGAGAAAGGUAUCUUUGCUGAAGAAGCAACAUUCCUCGGCGGAGUUAUCCAUUGCAAAUAAAAAUCAGUAGUGAUGAGUGCUCGUAGUGAUGUUGGGGAAUAACUUGAAAAUGAUUGUUCUAUCAUAUUUUGGCUGGAAUGCAGUAAUAUUUAAUAUGUGUUAGUUGACUGAUAUGUAAUGGAAUUUUAAAAAUUCUGAUACUAUUUAAUUGAUAACUUGCAAUUGUGUCAGGCAGCAUUCGCUAGAGAACAUACAGUGGUAAUAUUUUGGCUGUCGACAGCUUAUGAAAGACUGCUCAAAAAGAAACUGAUGGGACUUCAGAAAUUCCAAAGCAUGUGGAUUUUGAGGGGCGUGUUUAGGAAGAAGUAUAGACAGCCACUGAAGAAUCAGUUUACGUCACGAGCGGUGCGCUUUGCGAAUGUGUGAACCUUCCAAGUCAUCCAUGUUCUGAUGAGAGUGAAAUCCCUACGGAUGUCUGCUCAGAAGACUCAUCCAGUUCAAUAGAUCUUUCUUCCAGGUAAGUGUUUUAUAGGACUGUAGUGUCAAUGUGGAGCUAUAUCCAGAAAACACUGGCAUAGGGAAACGAUUGAGCAUUCUUAGAAGAAUUCUGAUUACAGUGGUAC
Non-coding RNA from Podarcis muralis (Common wall lizard), 945 nucleotides. Lineage: Eukaryota; Metazoa; Chordata; Lepidosauria; Squamata; Lacertidae. The record is from RefSeq and is a predicted model, not a curated record.